CCAAGGAAGGCAGCAGGCGCGCAAAUUACCCACUCCCGGCACGGGGAGGUAGUGACGAAAAAUAACGAUACGGGACUCAUCCGAGGCCCCGUAAUCGGAAUGAGUACACUCUAAACCUUUUAACAAGGAUCAAUUGGAGGGCAAGUCUGGUGCCAGCAGCCGCGGUAAUUCCAGCUCCAAUAGCGUAUAUUAAAGUUGUUGCGGUUAAAAAGCUCGUAGUCGAAUUUGUGUCCCGCGCCGCCGGUUCAUCGCUCGCGGUGUCAACUGGCGUGUCCGCGGGACGUCCUGCCGGUGGGCUUAGCCUCUCGGGGCGGCCCAAUUUCAAUCCCACCGCGGUGCUCUUCAUUGAGUGUCGAGGUGGGCCGGCACGUUUACUUUGAACAAAUUAGAGUGCUUAAAGCAGGCUAAAACUUCGCCUGAAUACUGUGUGCAUGGAAUAAUGGAAUAGGACCUCGGUUCUAUUUUGUUGGUUUUCGGAACCCCGAGGUAAUGAUUAAUAGGAACGGAUGGGGGCAUUCGUAUUGCGACGUUAGAGGUGAAAUUCUUGGAUCGUCGCAAGACGGACAGAAGCGAAAGCAUUUGCCAAAAACGUUUUCAUUGAUCAAGAACGAAAGUUAGAGGUUCGAAGGCGAUCAGAUACCGCCCUAGUUCUAACCAUAAACGAUGCCAGCUAGCGAUCCGCCGACGUUCCUCCGAUGACUCGGCGGGCAGCUUCCGGGAAACCAAAGCUUUUGGGUUCCGGGGGAAGUAUGGUUGCAAAGCUGAAACUUAAAGGAAUUGACGGAAGGGCACCACCAGGAGUGGAGCCUGCGGCUUAAUUUGACUCAACACGGGAAACCUCACCAGGCCCGGACACCGGAAGGAUUGACAGAUUGAGAGCUCUUUCUUGAUUCGGUGGGUGGUGGUGCAUGGCCGUUCUUAGUUGGUGGAGCGAUUUGUCUGGUUAAUUCCGUUAACGAGCGAGACUCUAGCCUGCUAACUAGGCGUAUUUUCGACAUCUCAAAGGUCCGCCGGCCCGGCGCUCGCGUCGCGGUCGCGCGCGAUUUUUACUGUCGGCGUACAAUUAAUUCUUCUUAGAGGGACAGGCGGCUUCUAGCCGCACGAGAUUGAGCAAUAACAGGUCUGUAAUGCCCUUAGAUGUUCUGGGCCGCACGCGCGCUACACUGAAGGAAUCAGCGUGUCUUCCCUGGCCGAGCGGCCCGGGUAACCCGCUGAACCUCCUUCGUGCUAGGGAUUGGGGCUUGCAAUUGUUCCCCAUGAACGAGGAAUUCCCAGUAAGCGCGAGUCAUAAGCUCGCGUUGAUUACGUCCCUGCCCUUUGUACACACCGCCCGUCGCUACUACCGAUUGAAUGAUUUAGUGAGGUCUUCGGACCGGUGCGCGGUGGCGUUUCGACGUCGCCGAUGAUGCUGGGAAGAUGACCAAACUUGAUCAUUUAGAGGAAGUAAAA
Molecule: ribosomal RNA, 1449 nt
Filed under: Aphodius suarius
Lineage: Eukaryota; Metazoa; Arthropoda; Insecta; Coleoptera; Scarabaeidae
Description: SSU rRNA
Rfam family: Eukaryotic small subunit ribosomal RNA
Source: RNAcentral